GACAAACGCUGGCGGUAUGCCUAACACAUGCAAGUCGAACGGACAGAACAGGGAAGCUUUUCGGAGUGGAACUGGAAAGUUAGUGGCGGAUGGGUGAGUAACGCGUGGACAACCUACCUUGUAAAGGGGAAUAACCUCGAGAAAUCGAAGCUAAUACCCCAUAAUAACCUUGCUUCGCAUGAAGUAAGGAGGAAAGGCGGCCUUAGCGCUGUCGAUACAAGAUGGGUCCGCGUCUGAUUAGCUAGUUGGUGAGGUAAAGGCUCACCAAGGCGACGAUCAGUAGCCGGCCUGAGAGGGUGAACGGCCACAUUGGGACUGAGACACGGCCCAAACUCCUACGGGAGGCAGCAGUGGGGAAUCUUCCGCAAUGGGCGAAAGCCUGACGGAGCAAUGCCGCGUGAGUGAAGAAGGCCUUCGGGUUGUAAAACUCUGUCCUUAUCGAAGAGAGAGUGUAGUAGUAACUGACAAUACUAGGACGGUAGAUGAGGAGGAAGCCCCGGCUAACUAUGUG
RNAcentral lists this ribosomal RNA (511 nucleotides) under uncultured bacterium. Its description in RNAcentral is "partial 16S ribosomal RNA". It matches the Rfam family "Bacterial small subunit ribosomal RNA", at positions 28 to 507 of the family's 1533-position model. The record is from RNAcentral.